This 460-nucleotide ribosomal RNA is filed under the name uncultured bacterium. RNAcentral describes it as "partial 16S ribosomal RNA". It matches the Rfam family "Bacterial small subunit ribosomal RNA", at positions 338 to 795 of the family's 1533-position model. The record is from RNAcentral.
CCUACGGGUGGCAGCAGUGAGGAAUAUUGGUCAAUGGGCGCGACCCUGAACCAGCCAAGUAGCGUGAAGGAUGACUGCCCUACGGGUUGUAAACUUCUUUUAUAAAGGAAUAAAGUGCGGCACGUGUGCCUUUUUGUCUGUACUUUAUCAAUAAGGAUCGGCUAACUCUGCGCCAGCAGCCGCGGUAAUACGGAGGAUCCGAGCGUUAUCCGGAUUUAUUGGGUGUAAAGGGAGCGUAGAUGGGUUGUUAAGUCAGUUGUGAAAGUUUGCGGCUCAACCGUAAAAUUGCAAUUGAUACUGGCAGCCUUGAGUACAGUUGAGGUAGGCGGAAUUCGUGGUGUAGCGGUGAAAUGCUUAGAUAUCACGAAGAACUCCGAUUGCGAAGGCAGCUUACUAAACUGCCACUGACAUUGAUGCUCGAAAGUGUGGGUAUCAAACAGGAUUAGAUACCCUUGUAGUC